This 445-nucleotide ribosomal RNA is filed under the name uncultured bacterium. RNAcentral describes it as "partial 16S ribosomal RNA". It matches the Rfam family "Bacterial small subunit ribosomal RNA", at positions 354 to 796 of the family's 1533-position model. The record is from RNAcentral.
GUGAGGAAUAUUGGUCAAUGGGCGGGAGCCUGAACCAGCCAAGUCGCGUGAAGGAAGAAGGAUCUAUGGUUCGUAAACUUCUUUUGCAGGGGAAUAAAGUGCAGGACGUGUCCUGUUUUGUAUGUACCCUGAGAAUAAGGAUCGGCUAACUCCGUGCCAGCAGCCGCGGUAAUACGGAGGAUCCGAGCGUUAUCCGGAUUUAUUGGGUUUAAAGGGUGCGUAGGUGGUUUGAUAAGUCAGCGGUGAAAGUUUGCAGCUUAACUGUAAAAAUGCCGUUGAAACUGUCGGACUUGAGUGUAAAUGAGGUAGGCGGAAUGCGUGGUGUAGCGGUGAAAUGCAUAGAUAUCACGCAGAACUCCGAUUGCGAAGGCAGCUUACUAAGCUACAACUGACACUGAAGCACGAAAGCGUGGGUAUCAAACAGGAUUAGAAACCCUUGUAGUCC